AGUGGGGAAUAUUGCACAAUGGGCGCAAGCCUGAUGCAGCGACGCCGCGUGAGGGAUGACGGCCUUCGGGUUGUAAACCUCUUUCAGUAGGGAAGAAGCGAAAGUGACGGUACCUGCAGAAGAAGCACCGGCUAACUACGUGCCAGCAGCCGCGGUAAUACGUAGGGUGCGAGCGUUAUCCGGAAUUAUUGGGCGUAAAGAGCUCGUAGGCGGUUUGUCGCGUCUGUCGUGAAAGUCCGGGGCUUAACCCCGGAUCUGCGGUGGGUACGGGCAGACUAGAGUGCAGUAGGGGAGACUGGAAUUCCUGGUGUAGCGGUGGAAUGCGCAGAUAUCAGGAGGAACACCGAUGGCGAAGGCAGGUCUCUGGGCUGUAACUGACGCUGAGGAGCGAAAGCAUGGGGAGCGAA
This 407-nucleotide ribosomal RNA is filed under the name uncultured Micrococcus sp. Its description in RNAcentral is "bacterial SSU rRNA". It matches the Rfam family "Bacterial small subunit ribosomal RNA", at positions 353 to 772 of the family's 1533-position model. Lineage: Bacteria; Bacillati; Actinomycetota; Actinomycetes; Micrococcales; Micrococcaceae. The record is from RNAcentral.